Molecule: ribosomal RNA, 253 nt
Filed under: uncultured bacterium
Lineage: Bacteria
Description: partial 16S ribosomal RNA
Rfam family: Bacterial small subunit ribosomal RNA
Source: RNAcentral
UACAGAGGUCUCAAGCGUUGUUCGGAUUCAUUGGGCGUAAAGGGUGCGUAGGUGGCGCGGUAAGUCGGGUGUGAAAUCUCGGAGCUUAACUCCGAAAUUGCAUUCGAUACUGCCGUGCUCGAGGACUGGAGAGGAGACUGGAAUUCAUGGUGUAGCAGUGAAAUGCGUAGAGAUCAUGAGGAAGACCAGUGGCGAAGGCGGGUUGCUGGGCCGACACUGACGCUGAGGCGCGAAAGCUAGGGGAGCGAACGGG